UAUUCCAAUGGUUCAUUUUUGUGUACCGUGGCCUCAAGGAAUGUGGCCUUUGAUCC
Vulpes vulpes (red fox) is the source of this 56-nucleotide unclassified non-coding RNA. NCBI's taxonomy places the organism in Eukaryota, Metazoa, Chordata, Mammalia, Carnivora, Canidae. The record is from Ensembl.